GCCUCUACACUGUCUGAAUAAGAAGUUGAUGUGUCAUGUCCCCAACUAACUCUGACUACUGAAAUCUGAAUUAGUAAUCAAAUUAUCAUGUCCUCAAAGGAUGAGAACUCACUGCUAACUCUGGUCACUGAACUGGGAUGCUACUAGUUCUUUAGAGCUCGUGCUUCUAAACCUAUGGUAUAACUGUCGAUAUCAGUUGUAAGAUUGAAUAUUAAUAAACU
This 221-nucleotide long non-coding RNA is filed under the name Capsicum annuum. Its description in RNAcentral is "long non-coding RNA (CANN_LNC014811)". The record is from RNAcentral. Lineage: Eukaryota; Viridiplantae; Streptophyta; Magnoliopsida; Solanales; Solanaceae.